GACGGAGGAUGCAAGUGUUAUCCGGAAUCACUGGGCGUAAAGCGUCUGUAGGUGGUUUAAUAAAGUCAACUGUUAAAUCUUGAGGCUCAACCUCAAAAUCGCAGUCGAAACUAUUAGGCUAGAGUAUAGUAGGGGUAAAGGGAAUUUCCAGUGGAGCGGUGAAAUGCGUAGAGAUUGGAAAGAACACCGAUGGCGAAGGCACUUUACUGGGCUAUUACUAACACUCAGAGACGGAAAGCUAGGGUAGCAAAUGGG
Molecule: ribosomal RNA, 255 nt
Filed under: uncultured bacterium
Lineage: Bacteria
Description: partial 16S ribosomal RNA
Rfam family: Bacterial small subunit ribosomal RNA
Source: RNAcentral